This 292-nucleotide long non-coding RNA is filed under the name Elaeis guineensis (African oil palm). RNAcentral's name for it is "long non-coding RNA (EGUI_LNC022901)". Lineage: Eukaryota; Viridiplantae; Streptophyta; Magnoliopsida; Arecales; Arecaceae. The record is from RNAcentral.
AGGGGGGUGAUUAUAACUCGAGGGCUAAAUAACAAUGAUGUUUGUGAGAUGCCAUCAUCAGUGUAUGUAUCUCGAACUUGACCACUGGCUAUAGUUGGUAUUCGUCAUGUGCACCACAUCUGACCCAAGGAAAGCAACUUCACUCCUGGGGAAGAGGAUUGGGGGAUGGAAGUGACAUGUAUAAAGAGCAAGCAUCGAAUACAAGCUGCUUUCGGGCCAAAUGCCUCGGAAGGAAGAGAAAGUGACACCCUUAAUGUUCGAGGAAGGGAAGGAGGGAAAGGUGAUGGAAGGC